Molecule: long non-coding RNA, 1083 nt
Filed under: Micromonas pusilla
Lineage: Eukaryota; Viridiplantae; Chlorophyta; Mamiellophyceae; Mamiellales; Mamiellaceae
Description: long non-coding RNA (MPUS_LNC000029)
Source: RNAcentral
UCACGCAAGAGGACGUCGACAGACGAGACGACAAUGCUGCCACGUGAGGCGAGUUGCUGCAACAAUGCAAUAGAUGAACACGUCGCUGCCAUGUGAUGAGAUGGCGAAGACGCGGCAACUGUAGAAGAAUAACGGGAGAAACUAUCAAGGUGUUGACAGCUUUCUAUGUCACUGUAGCCCAUCUGGACCCUCGACGGGAUAGCAAGUCUCUUGAGGUAAUAACACGAAGAGGAUGAUGUCACAGGUGCUUCCUCCGAUGUCAGAACUAAGUUUGGAUCAACAGAAAGAUAUCUGGACGCAGAUAUUUUCUUCGUUAUUAAGCCAAGUGCCUUCGAAUAUCCGUCCCCUAGUGCAUGAUUGCUAACAUUUUGGUCGCGCGCAAGCGUCAGUGCCCACUCGGGACAUGAAAAGAUGUCAUUCUCGUAUGUUUGAAAAAAUGCCACUGCAGUUGGAAUUGCUAAAGACAAUAAUGACACAUAUGCUGCGACACCUGCGUGCAUCAUCACAUCGAUCAAACGUGGGUACGUAUAUUUGUCACUGGGAUGACAUCCUCCAUUCAUUUUACCGUGACUAACUCGAGUGUGCACGUGUGAACGACAGAUGUUACCACGUAAGUGUAUGUGAAAGGAGUGAAGAGAGGUGAUAUUCCUUGAUGAAACCAAUUUGGUCGCAAUAGGGGGAGUGGCUGUGCAUCUAUACUUCGACAUGGCGAAUCGGACACCAACAGCCAUGUUUUCUCCAAAUGUUGUUGACAGCGUUGCAAUACUGUGUAAACUCAGUUCGCAUCGCAUAACUGUCAUGCCCGUAAUGAAAAGAGGUUUGACGAACGUGACGUUUGUAAGAGCACGUGAAGUGUCACUGAAUUCUCGUUUUACCUCAUGGUACACUGCUUGCGUCGCUGCUAAUGCCGCAGACAUGCUCAUCGCAGCCGGGAGAAUUGCGCAUCCACAAACGCGGUGAUCCAUGAGACCUUCGAUCACCUCCGGCUUAUUACUCAGUGUAAAUAUAAUUUUGUCGUUUUGGCAUGUUGCCUCGCCGAGCACUGUAUGUACAGUCUUCCGAGGCCAUAUAAUCUGCCGGAAA